Molecule: ribosomal RNA, 303 nt
Filed under: uncultured bacterium
Lineage: Bacteria
Description: partial 16S ribosomal RNA
Rfam family: Bacterial small subunit ribosomal RNA
Source: RNAcentral
AGCAGUCGCCGCGGUAAUACGUAGGGUGCAAGCGUUAAUCGGAAUUACUGGGCGUAAAGCGUGCGCAGGCGGUUAUAUAAGACAGAUGUGAAAUCCCCGGGCUCAACCUGGGAACUGCAUUUGUGACUGUAUAGCUAGAGUACGGCAGAGGGGGAUGGAAUUCCGCGUGUAGCAGUGAAAUGCGUAGAUAUGCGGAGGAACACCGAUGGCGAAGGCAAUCCCCUGGGCCUGUACUGACGCUCAUGCACGAAAGCGUGGGGAGCAAACAGGAUUAGAUACCCCGGUAGUCCCUGUCUCUUAUAU